GGGCCCGUAGUUCAGUUGGGAGAAUGCCUGCUUUGCAAGCAGGAGGUCAGGAGUUCGACCCUCCUCGGGUCCACCA
Molecule: transfer RNA, 76 nt
Filed under: Candidatus Omnitrophota bacterium
Lineage: Bacteria; Pseudomonadati; Candidatus Omnitrophota
Description: Candidatus Omnitrophica bacterium tRNA-Ala
Rfam family: tRNA
About the family: Transfer RNA (tRNA) molecules are approximately 80 nucleotides in length. Their secondary structure includes four short double-helical elements and three loops (D, anti-codon, and T loops).
Source: RNAcentral